This 252-nucleotide ribosomal RNA is filed under the name uncultured bacterium. Its description in RNAcentral is "partial 16S ribosomal RNA". It matches the Rfam family "Bacterial small subunit ribosomal RNA", at positions 334 to 584 of the family's 1533-position model. The record is from RNAcentral.
UCGUCCUACGGGGCGCAGCAGUGAGGAAUAUUGGUCAAUGGGCGAGAGCCUGAACCAGCCAAGUCGCGUGAGGGAGUACUGACCUAUGGGUUGUAAACCUCUUUUGUCGGGGAGCAAAAGCCGGACGUGUCCGUCUGUGAGAGUACCCGAAGAAAAAGCAUCGGCUAACUCCGUGCCAGCAGCCGCGGUAAUACGGAGGAUGCGAGCGUUAUACGGAUUUAUUGGGUUUAAAGGGUGCGCAGGCGGCUUUUU